GUCCACGCCGUAAACGAUGGAUACUAGCUGUUCGGAGCAAUCUGAGUGGCUAAGCGAAAGUGAUAAGUAUCCCACCUGGGGAGUACGUUCGCAAUAAUGAAACUCAAAGGAAUUGACGGGGGCCGCACAAGCGGUGGAGCAUGUGGUUUAAUUCGAUUAUACGCGAGGAACCUUACCAAGGCUUAAAUGUAGAUUGACCGGUUUGGAAACAGACUUUUCGCAAGACAAUUUACAAGGUGCUGCAUGGUUGUCGU
RNAcentral lists this ribosomal RNA (254 nucleotides) under uncultured bacterium. Its description in RNAcentral is "partial 16S ribosomal RNA". It matches the Rfam family "Bacterial small subunit ribosomal RNA", at positions 793 to 1055 of the family's 1533-position model. The record is from RNAcentral.